RNAcentral lists this small RNA (536 nucleotides) under Pan troglodytes (chimpanzee). RNAcentral's name for it is "retained intron". Lineage: Eukaryota; Metazoa; Chordata; Mammalia; Primates; Hominidae. The record is from RNAcentral.
AAAUUUUUAUGGCAGAGCAGGCUCAGAAGGCAGGUUAUAUACAGUUCCCGAAAUCUACCCCAUAGUCCCAGAAGUGGGACUGAUGAUGGACACACUUUAGGGAAGCCUGCCUGGCCAACUUUCUUUCAGGCCUUUUCCCUGCCCACCUAUGGCUGGGUCCAGCUCCCAUUGGGGACAAGGGCUGAGGUUGGAGCACCCGAAAGCAGGGCCUCCAUUGGUCUGGGACUGUCUACUGUGUCUGAGCAUGGGAUGGUAGGAGUGCUGUGCGUUUGAGCCAGGUCUUCCUGGGCUCUGGACCCUGAGCUGCUCCCUAGCCUGGCUCUGCUUUGCAGGGGUGGAGGUGCCUGAAGUCAUCAAGGACCUCUGCCGGCGAGCCUCCUACAUCAGCCAGGAUAUGAUCUGUCCCUCUCCCAGAGUGAGUGCCCGCUGUUCCCGCAGCGACAUUGAGACUGAGUUGACACCUCAGAGACUGCAGUGCCCCAUGGACACAGACCCUCCCCAGGAGAUUCGGCGGAGGUUUGGCAAGAAGGUAACGU